GAAUUCGCCCUUAGAGUUUGAUCCUGGCUCAGGAUGAACGCUGGCGGCGUGCUUAACACAUGCAAGUCGAACGAGAACUUGAGAGACUGAUUCUUCGGAUGAAGUCCCUUGAGGGAAAGUGGCGGACGGGCGAGUAACACGUGAGCAACCUACCCUUUACAGUGGAAUAACAAUCGGAAACGAUUGCUAAUACCGCAUAACAUAUACCUUAGGCAUCUUCGGUAUAUCAAAGAUUUAUCGGUAAUGGAUGGGCUCGCGUCUGAUUAGGAAGUUGGUGAGGUAACGGCUCACCAAUCCGACGAUCAGUAGCCGGACUGAGAGGUUGAUCGGCCGCAUUGGGACUGAGACACGGCCCAGACUCCUACGGGAGGCAGCAGUGGGGAAUAUUGGGCAAUGGGCGAAAGCCUGACCCAGCGACGCCGCGUGAAGGACGAAGGCCUUCGGGUUGUAAACUUCUUUGGGGAGGGACGAAAAUGACGGUACCUCCAGAACAAGCCACGGCUAACUACGUGCCAGCAGCCGCGGUAAUACGUAGGUGGCAAGCGUUAUCCGGAUUUACUGGGUGUAAAGGGCGCGCAGGCGGCCCCAAAAGUCAGAUGUGAAAGAUCAAGGCUUAACUUUGACAUGUCAUCUGAAACUUUGGGACUUGAGUAUCAGAGGGGAAAGCGGAAUUCCUGGUGGAGCGGUAAAAUGCGCAGAGAUCAGGAGGAACACCGGUGGCGAAGGCGGCUUUCUGGCUGACAACUGACGCUGAGGCGCGAAAGCGUGGGGAGCAAACAGAAUUAGAUACCCUGGUAGUCCACGCCGUAAA
RNAcentral lists this ribosomal RNA (811 nucleotides) under uncultured bacterium. Its description in RNAcentral is "bacterial SSU rRNA". It matches the Rfam family "Bacterial small subunit ribosomal RNA", at positions 1 to 806 of the family's 1533-position model. The record is from RNAcentral.